RNAcentral lists this ribosomal RNA (253 nucleotides) under uncultured bacterium. Its description in RNAcentral is "partial 16S ribosomal RNA". It matches the Rfam family "Bacterial small subunit ribosomal RNA", at positions 524 to 776 of the family's 1533-position model. The record is from RNAcentral.
UACGUAGGGUGCGAGCGCUAAUCGGAAUUACUGGGCGUAAAGCGUGCGCAGGCGGCGCGUUAAGACAGGUGUGAAAGCCCCGAGCUUAACUUGGGAAUUGCGCUUGUGACUGGCGUGCUGGAGUGUGGCAGAGGGAGGUGGAAUUCCACGUGUAGCAGUGAAAUGCGUAGAGAUGUGGAGGAACACCGAUGGCGAAGGCAGCCUCCUGGGCCAGCACUGACGCUCAUGCACGAAAGCGUGGGGAGCAAACAGG